This 774-nucleotide ribosomal RNA is filed under the name uncultured bacterium. RNAcentral describes it as "bacterial SSU rRNA". It matches the Rfam family "Bacterial small subunit ribosomal RNA", at positions 8 to 796 of the family's 1533-position model. The record is from RNAcentral.
AGAGUUUGAUCCUGGCUCAGAACGAACGCUGGCGGCAUGCCUAACACAUGCAAGUCGGACGCUGCAUGGGUUUCGGCCCAUGCGGAGUGGCGCACGGGUGAGUAGCGCGUGGGAACCUGUCCCGCAGUGGGGGAUAACCGAGGGAAACUUCGGCUAAUACCGCAUGCGCCCCUGGGUUCAGGGCGACCUGGCGACCUGGGGGGAAAGAUUGAUCGCUGUGGGAGGGGCCCGCGUCGGAUUAGGUAGUUGGUGGGGUAACGGCCUACCAAGCCGAUGAUCCGUAGCUGGUCUGAGAGGAUGAUCAGCCACACUGGGACUGAGACACGGCCCAGACUCCUACGGGAGGCAGCAGUGGGGAAUAUUGGACAAUGGGCGCAAGCCUGAUCCAGCAAUGCCGCGUGAGUGAUGAAGGCCUUCGGGUUGUAAAGCUCUUUGGGCGGGGACGAUGAUGACGGUACCCGCAGAACAAGCCCCGGCUAACUUCGUGCCAGCAGCCGCGGUAAUACGAAGGGGGCGAGCGUUGUUCGGAAUUACUGGGCGUAAAGGGCGCGCAGGCGGCCAUUCAAGUCAGGCGUGAAAGCCCCGGGCUCAACCUGGGAAUGGCGCUUGGGACUGGGUGGCUGGGGUUCGGGAGAGGAGAGUGGAAUUCCCAGUGUAGAGGUGAAAUUCAGAUAUUGGGAAGAACACCGGUGGCGAAGGCGGCUCUCUGGACCGAUACUGACGCUGAGGCGCGAGAGCGUGGGGAGCAAACAGGAUUAGAUACCCUGGUAGUCC